RNAcentral lists this ribosomal RNA (876 nucleotides) under uncultured archaeon. Its description in RNAcentral is "bacterial SSU rRNA". It matches the Rfam family "Archaeal small subunit ribosomal RNA", at positions 21 to 903 of the family's 1478-position model. The record is from RNAcentral.
AGCCACUGCUAUUGGGAUUCGAUUAAGCCAUGCGAGUCGAGAGGGUUCGGCCCUCGGCAGACUGCUCAGUAACACGUGGAUAACCUAACCUUAGGUGGAGGAUAAUCUCGGGAAACUGAGAAUAAUACUCCAUAGAUCUAGGCUGCUGGAAUGCAUCUAGAUCAAAAGCUCCGGCGCCUAAGGAUGGGUCUGCGGACUAUCAGGUUGUAGUCAGGGUAAAGACCUGACUAGCCUACGACGGAUAUGGGUUGUGAGAGCAAUAGCCCAGAGACGAUAUCUGAGACACGAUAUCGGGCCCUACGGGGCGCAGCAGGCGCGAAAUCUUCACAAUGUGCGAAAGCACGAUGAGGGAAUCCCAAGUGCUAGCACGUAAGUGUUAGCUGUUUCUUAGUCUAAAAAACUCAGAGAGUAAGAGCUGGGUAAGACGGGUGCCAGCCGCCGCGGUAAUACCUGCAGCUCAAGUGGUGGCCGCUACUAUUGGGCCUAAAACGUCCGUAGCCCGUUUAGUAAAUGCUUGGGUAAAUUGUGUAGCUUAACUAUACGAAUACCGGGUAGACUGCUAAACUUGGGACCGGGAGAGGCUAGAGGUACUCCUGGGGUAGAGGUGAAAUUCUGUAAUCCUAGGGGGACCACCAGUGGCGAAGGCGUCUAGCUAGAACGGGUCUGACGGUGAGGGACGAAGCCCUGGGGCGCGAACCGGAUUAGAUACCCGGGUAGUCCAGGGUGUAAACGCUGCUUGCUUGAUGUUAGUUGGGCUCCGAGCCCAACUAGUGUCGGAGAGAAGUUGUUAAGCAAGCUGCCUGGGAAGUACGGUCGCAAGACUGGAACUUAAAGGAAUUGGCGGGGGAGCACAGCAACGGGUGGAGCGUGCGGUUU